GUCUGUGUGUGUCUUUUACAGAGUUUUAAACCUUGGGAUCCACAAAAAAGCAAGAGUAAAAGACGAACACUUUUUAAACAUAAUGUUGUUAACAAACUACAUUAAUCAAAAAUGGACAUAGCAAGCAUCACCAGACAGCUUCAGUCAAAAUUGGAUGUAGAAGAUAGAGUUAAGGCUCUGCAAGGACAUCCGAUUUCUAAGUUAGCAAUGUUUGGAAUGGUGUAUUUUAGUGCAUUGAUUUAUUUUAAACAAAGAACAAUAUACUUCUACCGCUUCUCCCGACCUGCGUUAUAGUCAGAGCGGGAGCAGCGGUUUCGCUCAUGCGCAAUUCUUUUGCAGUUUGGACCCGUAGGUGUAAAAAGCUCCUGCUCUGACAGCAGCUGGGGGCAACUGCUGCAUUAGGACGGCCGCCUGUGAGUGCUUUGGCACGGGCGAGGUGCCCACGGCAGCUCCCGCUGCUUGUAAGAGCGAUACGUGCUUCCACGUCAAAAACUCGUAAUAACACCAGAAAAAAGUCACCAGAUUUGUCGCUAGUCGCUUUUUAGAAAAAAAAAAAAUCAAUUAAGGCGUCUGAAAACUCGCUAGAUAUAGCGACAAAAUCACUGUCGUUAAGUCCUCCGUUAUUUAUUUAGCUAAACAAGUCAAUUAACACUGGCUUACAGCACCAUAGAAAUAUAUACAAAAAUACAAGCCUCCGUUAUUUAUUUAGCUAAUAUGCUAGUAGCCAAUGUGCUUUAAGCUAACUCGGCUUCCCACAAUCUUACAUUUCUGAAUAAAAACACUAAGAAGUUACCUUUAAUACCUCCGACCAGUAUAAUUUCAUUCCACGUUAACAGAGCUUUCUACGUGAGAGCAAGCCGUAAAACUUGAACACAAAAAGUAAAUAAUUAAAAAAGGGGAGUGUGUUGUUUGUUAAUCGACGGUGAGACAGCGGGGGCGUAAUCCCAAGGGCGGAAGCACCCCGGGUUUUUUCCUUUCUGGGUUGCCAUUCCUCGAGAACAGCAGGUUAAUAUUAAGGUUAGCUUAAUGGUUAAUAC
Molecule: long non-coding RNA, 1037 nt
Organism: Astatotilapia calliptera (eastern happy)
Lineage: Eukaryota; Metazoa; Chordata; Actinopteri; Cichliformes; Cichlidae
Source: Ensembl